GAUGAAGAACGCAGCGAAAUGCGAUAAAUAAUGUGAAUUGCAGAAUUCAGUGAAUCAUCGAGUCUUUGAACGCACAUUGCGCCCCCUGGUAUUCCGGGGGGCAUGCCUGUCCGAGCGUCAUUGCUGCCCUCAAGCACGGCUUGUGUGUUGGGCCCCCGCCCCCCGGUUCCCGGGGGGCGGGCCCGAAAGGCAGCGGCGGCACCGCGUCCGGUCCUCGAGCGUAUGGGGCUUCGUCACCCGCUCCGUAGGNNNNNCCGGCGCCCGCCGGCGACCCCCCCUCAAUCUUUCCAGGUUGACCUCGGAUCAGGUAGGGAUACCCGCUGAACUUAAGCAUAUCAAUAAGCGGAGGA
This 350-nucleotide unclassified non-coding RNA is filed under the name soil metagenome. Its description in RNAcentral is "partial contains 5.8S ribosomal RNA, internal transcribed spacer 2, and large subunit ribosomal RNA". The stretch from base 1 to 120 matches the Rfam family "5.8S ribosomal RNA", at positions 35 to 154 of the family's 154-position model. The record is from RNAcentral.